RNAcentral lists this unclassified non-coding RNA (345 nucleotides) under soil metagenome. Its description in RNAcentral is "partial contains 5.8S ribosomal RNA, internal transcribed spacer 2, and large subunit ribosomal RNA". The stretch from base 1 to 119 matches the Rfam family "5.8S ribosomal RNA", at positions 35 to 154 of the family's 154-position model. The record is from RNAcentral.
GAUGAAGAACGUAGCAAAAUGCGAUAGUAAUGUGAAUUGCAGAAUUCAGUGAAUCAUCGAAUCUUUGAACGCACAUUGCGCCCGCCAGUAUUCUGGCGGGCAUGCCUGUUCGAGCGUCAUUUCAACCCUCAAGCCCUCGGGUUUGGUGUUGGGGAUCGGCGAGCCUUUCUGGCAAGCCGGCCCCGAAAUCUAGUGGCGGUCUCGCUGCAGCCUCCAUUGCGUAGUAGUAAAACCCUCGCAACUGGAACGCGGCGCGGCCAAGCCGUUAAACCCCCAACUUCUGAAUGUUGACCUCGGAUCAGGUAGGAAUACCCGCUGAACUUAAGCAUAUCAAUAAGCGGAGGA